GCUUCGUAGUUUUAAUAAAUGUUAUGUUUUGGUGGCAGAUCGUACUGGGUUGCUUCCACUACAUUUCCAUCCAUAAUGAUCCUGCCCGGCAAUUUAACUUUGGUUCCUCUGUGUGUUGACUUCACCUCUCCAGGAGAUUAUUUUCUCUUCAUUUUCCACAUCAUAUCGGGGAUCAGCACUGUGCUCGUAGCGGGCUCUGUGUUCUGCGGCAUCAUUUCCACCCGGGCUCUUUUAGUGCAGCACCGCUUUAUAUUUAUGUUGAACACCAGCAUUUCUGACACACUGACUGGCUGUGGCAUUUUCUAUCAGUUUCUUUUCGAUGUAACUGAGGAUUAUCCUUCCAAAAACGGGACUUUUUAUAUUUUGCCCUCUCUAUUAGGGGUUAAUAUUAUGACAUUUUUAUUCGCACAGUUUGAUCGAUAUUUUGCUGUUUGCCAUCCGUUCUUUUAUGCUCGUUUUAUCUCCACAAAAGUUGUUGUCUGUGUGGCUAUUUAUAGUUGGGUGCAUGUUUACGGCCUUUUGGUCAUCCAGCGCAUGGUCCCAUUGUCGAAAGCUUUGGACAUUGCAGUUUAUAGCAGAAUGAGUAUCUUUGUAAUUAUCAUCACCAAAGUGUCUAUGACUAUUAAGCUUCUUUUCGUGGUCAGAUUCCAGCUUCUCCGAGAGCCUCCAGGCCCGGAGAGAGAAAGUCUAUUAAGGUUUCGAAAGUUAAGGUUUGAGCUUUCGGACUUCCACGCUGGUUUGUAGUUUCAUAUUUUAAAUUUCUGUCUGUUAAAAUAUAUAUUUGUAUAGUUACUAUUUUAUUUCAAUACAUGUUCGGGUUUGUUUUACUUUAAAAACGUGUUUAGUACAAAUAGCCUGUAAACAAAAGUGAUGAUACAUGUUAAUAAAAUGAUGGCAAAAAUGA
Molecule: long non-coding RNA, 904 nt
Organism: Xiphophorus couchianus (Monterrey platyfish)
Lineage: Eukaryota; Metazoa; Chordata; Actinopteri; Cyprinodontiformes; Poeciliidae
Exons: 2
Source: RefSeq, a predicted model, not a curated record